GACGAACGCUGGCGGCGUGCUUAACACAUGCAAGUCGAACGGUAAGGCCCUUCGGGGUACACGAGUGGCGAACGGGUGAGUAACACGUGGGUGAUCUGCCCUGCGCUUCGGGAUAAGCCUGGGAAACUGGGUCUAAUACCGGAUAGGACCACGCGCUUCACGGUGUGUGGUGGAAAGCUUUUGCGGUGUGGGAUGGGCCCGCGGCCUGUCAGCUUGUGGGUGGGGUAAUGGCAUACCAAGGCGACGACGGGUAGCCGGCCUGAGAGGGUGACCGGCCACACUGGGACUGAGAUACGGCCCAGACUCCUACGGGAGGCAGCAGUGGGGAAUAUUGCACAAUGGGCGCAAGCCUGAUGCAGCGACGCCGCGUGAGGGAUGACGGCCUUCGGGUUGUAAACCUCUUUCAGUAGGGACGAAGCGCAAGUAACGGUACCUACAGAAGAAGGACCGGCCAACUACGUGCCAGCCGCCGCGGUAA
This 478-nucleotide ribosomal RNA is filed under the name uncultured bacterium. RNAcentral describes it as "partial 16S ribosomal RNA". It matches the Rfam family "Bacterial small subunit ribosomal RNA", at positions 28 to 523 of the family's 1533-position model. The record is from RNAcentral.